This 497-nucleotide ribosomal RNA is filed under the name uncultured bacterium. Its description in RNAcentral is "partial 16S ribosomal RNA". It matches the Rfam family "Bacterial small subunit ribosomal RNA", at positions 28 to 507 of the family's 1533-position model. The record is from RNAcentral.
GACGAACGCUGGCGGCGUGCCUAAUACAUGCAAGUUGAGCGCUGAAGGUUGGUACUUGUACCAACUGGAUGAGCAGCGAACGGGUGAGUAACGCGUGGGGAAUCUGCCUUUGAGCGGGGGACAACAUUUGGAAACGAAUGCUAAUACCGCAUAAAAACUUUAAACACAAGUUUUAAGUUUGAAAGAUGCAAUUGCAUCACUCAAGGAUGAUCCCGCGUUGUAUUAGCUAGUUGGUGAGGUAAAGGCUCACCAAGGCGAUGAUACAUAGCCGACCUGAGAGGGUGAUCGGCCACAUUGGGACUGAGACACGGCCCAAACUCCUACGGGAGGCGGCAGUAGGGAAUCUUCGGCAAUGGACGAAAGUCUGACCGAGCAACGCCGCGUGAGUGAAGAAGGUUUUCGGAUCGUAAAACUCUGUUGGUAGAGAAGAACGUUGGUGAGAGUGGAAAGCUCAUCAAGUGACGGUAACUACCCAGAAAGGGACGGCUAACUACGUG